Callithrix jacchus (white-tufted-ear marmoset) is the source of this 6706-nucleotide non-coding RNA. NCBI's taxonomy places the organism in Eukaryota, Metazoa, Chordata, Mammalia, Primates, Cebidae. The record is from RefSeq and is a predicted model, not a curated record.
CAGGUUAAUCAGUUGACCAUGACUUAGUCACUUAUUGCUAUAAUGUUGACAAACAUUCCUAUCAGAGCAGGCUGACCCUGUUAGGAAAACGUGUGUUCUGAGUCAAAAUUCAGUCAGAGGGUCAGCAAACAGGAAGUCUGUAGGAAAGAUAGGACAAUAACUGGAAAACCAGGGUCAGAGACCUCAGUGCCAGGGCCUGGCCAUGGUGAACCGGAGACCCCAGCACAGAUGGGAGUUUGGACUUGGGCCAGAACUUUGCUUAUUGAGCUGGCGGUUGGCUUCAUGAAGGGAGCUGGUAGGACAUGAAAAGUUUGGGUUCAGAGUUGGAAGACAGGAUCAUUAGCUUGAGUGGAGGAUGAUAAUUGGAAAUUAAGUGAUGUGGCUUAUGACUGGAGUGAGGCACGGUGACUCACUCCAGUAAUCCCAGCACUCUGGGAGGCUGAGGCAGGCGAAUCACAAGGUCGGGCAUUUGAGAUCAGCCUGACCAGUAUGCUGAAACCCCUUCUCUACUAAAAAUACAAAAGUCAGCCAGGCAUGGUGGCAUAGGCCUGUAAUCCCAGCUACGCUGGAGGCUGAGUCAGGAGAAUCACUUGAACCUGGGAGGUGGAGGUUGCAGUAAGGCAAGAUGGUGCCACUGCACUCCAGCCUGAUUGUCAGAGUGAGACUCCAUCUCAAAAAAAACGGAGUUGCUAUGGGUGGAGCACCUGACCGUGGAGGAGGAACUUAUGCAUCUGUCGUAGCUAUUGCAGCUACAGAACGAUAACCUAAUGAGAAUUCUGCAGUCUCGGUAAUUUACUUUAAUAACCAGAAAAUCAGAAUUGCUCUCUCUUUCUCUCUGUUCCUGUUUUCUCUAAGAUAACGGGAAAAUGAGGACCAAAUCUCAGCAAACUGGUGCCUUUCUAUCAUAUCUCAUUCAGUGUCUUUCACCUCAUCAUCUGUUAUAUGCCACUUAUGUUUUGAGCAUAUUUGCUGGGCUCAGCCUGAGCUUGAUGUCCUGGGUCAGACUUCUUUGAAGCCAGAAUCUGCCAUGGAAAUCAGGUCCUGGGAUGAGGGAAAGUGCUACCUGCCGGACAGGACUCAGAGGACAAGGAGUGCCACAUGGGCGAGAACCCUGACACUGAGUAGAAGCAACAAGGCACCAAUCUAAAAGUCAGGGCAGGAAGAGAUCAGAGGUACUGGGCAGACAUCACAGGAGACAUAAAUGCGGAGAAAGCAAGGUGGCAAUUAUUAAAAGUGGCAUGGCUGGGUGGAGGCCCGGGGAAAGUAAGGAGCUGCGCAGUUGGAGACGUGGUUCUAGGGUGUGUUGGGCACAUGUUUUCUUCGCCUCAGACUCAAGUCAUAGCAGCCCAGGAUUCUUUUCCUUAUCAAGUUAUUAUAGGAAGGAAAAGCAAUGGCAACAACAUAUCCACAAGCAUUCACCUGUCAUAUGGAAAGAAAGGAUGGGCCAUUUGUAAGAAAAUAGAAGUACGUAUAUGUCCUCAAAAAAAUUCAAUAAGUUUAUCUUUCAGGGAUACCUAAAGCUUCCAACCAGUUGCCCCAUAUUCUUUCCCAGUAAAUAAUGUCAUGCAUUGUUUAGGAGUGGGGCAAAUUUUCUGGAAGGAACUCGUGAACAUGUGACCAAAGCUUUAAAAAAGAGCAUGUCACCCUACAGAUUAUAUUUAUCUUCAUGGGCUCCGUGUGGUAGCAGUAAUGCUACUAUUUUUUUUUUUUAAGAUGGAUUCUUACUUUGUGGCCCAGGCUGGAGUGCAGUGGCGUGAUCUCGGCUCACUGGAACAUCCACCUCCCCGAUUCAAGUGAUUCUCCAGCCUCAGCCUCCCGACUACCUGUGACUACAGCAGGAUCGCCAGUGCUACAGCCCCCUGGGGAUGGACUCAUUUCAACAGCAGCAGAAGCUCGCCUCUAGAAGAACUCCCAUUUGCACAGGACAGAGAUGAGUGGAAAUGAACAUAUGACACUGAUAGGCAUCUCCCGAUGGAGUCUUGCUCUGUCACCCAGGCUGGAGUACACUGGUGCCAUCUUGGCUCACUGCAACCUCUGCCUCCUGGAUUCAAGUGAUUCUCCUGCCUCAGCCUCCUGAGUAACUGGGAUUACAGGCACCUGCCACCACACCCAGAUUAUUUUUGUAUUUUUAGUAGAAACAGGGUUUCUAGUCUCGGACUCCUGACCUCAGGUCAUCCACCCACCUUGGCGUCCCAAAGUGCUGGGAUUACAGGCAUGAGCCAUGGUGCCUGACCAAGAAAGCUGAACUUUACAAAGAAGAGACAGAAACCUGGGGAGAGAGAUGAAGACCCAUAAGUUAGAGAAGGUGGGGCCAGGGGCUAUCAGUGGAUGCUGAAGGUCCAUGUCCCCCUUCUUUCUUUUAGUAGUAAAGCUCUUUAGGGGACAAGUCACCUGAGGACAAGGCUGGCCAGCCCAUGUCCUAGAAGAUGGAUCUGAGCAGAUGUGAUGCGUGCAAAUCCCCAAUCACCUCAUUUAGAAAGGAGGAUGCCCACCCUUCACUCUGUUUGUUCCAGAUCCUAGGAAGUGGCUGUGGUGCUGGGCAUGGGGGCAGCUUCACCAGGAGUGCCAGUGGAUGUCUGCAGUUAACAGCAGAGGACAGCGUGGGGUCCUGGGCAGGUGCAAGCAUGAGCAUAAACAGUGUCAGCAAACCAGGGGUGCUAGAAUGAGCAGAUGGCCCAGCCCACUGUGCAAUCCACCUCCUGCCCACCUUCACCCACUUGGAGGGACAGGGUUCUCUGCAGCCAGCUGGGGCAUUAGUCUCACGAGCAGGUAGCACCUGCCCCAUGCCUUCCCUGGGAGAGGGUGUCAUGAGAGGCCCACCUGGCUCUUCCUUGGGAUUCUUGAAUCUAUAUAUAUAUAGAGAGAGAGAGAGAGAGAGAGAGAGAUGGAGUCUUGCUCUGUUGCCCGGGCUGGAAUGCAGUGGCACGAUCUCAGCUCACUGAAACCUAUGCCUCCUGGGAUCAAGUGAUUCUCCUGCCUCAGCCUCCUGAGUAGCUGGGACUACAGGUGCACGCCACCACACCUGGCUAAUUUUUUUUUGUAUUUUUAGUAGAGACGGGGUUUUAGGGUUUCACCAUGUUGGCCAGUCUUGUCUUGAACUCCUCACCUCAGAUGAUCCGCCUGCCUUGGCCUCCCAAAAUGCUGGGAUUACAGGUGUGAACCACUGCACCCGGUAGAAUCCACAUUUUCUAAGGAGCCGGGGAGGCGGCUGUUUUCAGAGACAAGCCUUCCCGUGACAUAAUAGGUUGUCUUGUUUAUGAGCCUCCUCCUGCCCUUGGCAGCCUUGCCUUCAGCCUUGCCAUCCUUGGCCAGCAGCCUAGUAGCAGGCUGGGCAGGGCUCACAGAUGGGCAGCUUUCAUUCCAGCUUCCUGUGUGGAUGAAGCCCACGUCCCUAGGGGGUCAAGUGACAAAGUGAGUGCAAAUGAGCCCCGGUGCCCUAGCCCAGCCACUGACCUCGAUAUAACAGUAAGCAGAGAAGUCAUCUCUCUAUUUUUAACCACAGUAUUUGUGGACCUCUGUUUUGUAGAAGCUUAGCCCGUAUCCUGCACACUGUCAGAUGCUUUGUGGAGUCAGUGGCCUUUGACCUUGAGAAGCGUACAGUGGGCGGCAUGGGGGGAAAUCAGUGUAGAAAGAAAUUUUCUGGUGGCACCUUCAUGGGACUCCUCACAACUCCAAAAUACUUAGGAACCUUCUAUGCUCAGAAGAGGACACAAAUGGCUGUUAGAAAUUCCUUGCAAUGUUGCAAUGAUGGUUCCAGUUGCUUCACUGUUUCCCAAGGGGGUAAGUGCCCUUAUUAGUUUCUGAGGAGAAAAACAUACCUCCAGGAUAUUACCUUACUCUGAGAUCUGCUUUUGUGCCUGGUAAUUGAAGGAGUCCCAGCACGUAUCAGAAUGAUUAAGGUUUGUGGGAAGGAGUUUGUUUUUUUUUUUUUUUUUAGUAUUGGGCUCUUGGGUGGUACUAUUGAAGUAACAUUCUGUGCUGAUUUCUUAGCAGAAAUAUCCAAAGGAACAACAACCACGUCUUUGUCAACUUUGAGAUGGAGUCUCACUCUGUCACCAGGCUGGAGUGCAGUGGUGCGAUCUCGGCUCACUGCAACCUCUGCCUCCUGGGUUCAAGUUGUUUUCACGCCUCAGCCUCCAGAGUCGCUGGGACUAUAGUGCAUGCCACCAUGCCCAGCUAAUUUUUGUAUUUUUAGUAGAGACAGGGUUUUACCAUGUUGGCCAGGCUGGCCUCAAUCUCUUCACCUCAUGAUCUGCCUCUCUCAGCCUCCCAAAGUGCUGGGAUUACAGGCAUGAGCCAUCACUCCCAGCUUUUCUGCAGUAUUUUCAAUAUAACACAUUGAUAAUGUAGAGUAGAUAUUUUAAGCAGUCAGCAAAUAUAUUCCAUGUCUAGCCUGCAGUAGGAAGUUUUCCUAGCCCCUGUAAAGCAUGCAAAAAUGAUUAUGUCCAUGUCCCUGUCCUUGGUGCGCUUAGAGUCUGCUUAGAAAUAAUUCCAGUUAAAAUAAAACAUGGCAGCUUCGACCAGAGGUUUAUGGUAAAGAUAUUGCCAGUUAUAUAAACUUAGGAUUAGAAUCUUCUCAAUGGAGCAAAGACCAGACUUUCCUGCUUUGGAGAACAACAUGGUAUUCUAUUGUAAGUAGAUGCUGCUUGUAGAUAUUUUUCAUGCUUGGGGAAUAAAAAUAAUUUCUCCUCAUUUGGUUACCAUCCAUUGAUAGUAGCAGCUAACUUCGGAGGAGGACUGGGCCCAGAUAAGAUUAAUCCUGAUGUAGCAGCCUGUUAAACCAGGUAUUUAUCAAAGUGUUUUAUGGGGGCCAUAGUUCAUUAUUUUCUCCUUCUCUGUACUACAGGGAACAUUAGCUUUCUGAGUAGGUCAUUUUGGAAGUAGUCCCUGUGAUAGGACUACGGCUUUAUGGAUUGCCUCCAGUGACAUUGGCUGUUGCAUGCUCUCCAUUUAGAAAUAAAGAAGCCUGUGGCCUCAUAUCCAAUUCAUAGAAUUCCAGGCUGCUGCCUAACUUCUGCAUAAUAGGAACACCUUGCUGCCAGGAGCCGUUUCUCUAAGCAGGCCACUUUUGAAGUUGCUUAUUGAUUGAACAGUUAGUUAUGGCAGCAUAAAACCUGACCAUGGGAAGUGACAAUUGACAGAAUCACCUGAAAGCGCCUUUGCUACAUCACUGAUCUUCCCCUUAAAUCCCUUCCUCUGGGAUUCUUCCCCAUCUCAGACGGAAACCCCAUCUUUCCAGAUGGAGUAUUGCUCUGUCACCAGCUUGGAGUGCAGGAUGCGAUCUUGGCUGACUGCCAGGCUCAAGUCGUUCUUCUGCCUCAGCCUCCUGAGUGUCUGGGACUACAGGCGCAUGCCACCAUGUCCAGCUAAUUUUUGUAUCUUUAGUAGAGACAGGGUUUCACCAUGUUGGCCAGGAUGGCCUUGAUCUCUUGACCUCCUGAUCCACCCGCCUUGGCCUCCCAAAGUGCUGGGAUUACAGGCAUGAGCCACUGCGCCUGGCUGCCUUACACUUUCUUGUCUGAUUCUUGUCUGUAUUGCUCAUCUAGACUGCAAACUCCAAAAAGAAACCUGAAAAUGUCUCUUAUACUUCAAAAUGAAAACCAAAGUCCCUUAGCAUUUUUAACCUCAAAUGAAUAAAACACAGACCACAUUGACGCCAAAAGAGGAUGUGAAGAUCACAGAGGGAAAAGAUAAAUGACACCUUUGCACAACAGGCGGCCAGCAGAGCCCUAUCCUCAUGGUUCUCGGGUACAUGUGCAGAUCAUGCAGGAUUGCUGCAUAGAAUCUGGGACCUCAGGUGACCUGUCAGCUAAAGGGUGCGAUGUGACUUCUUCGUGUGGUUUUGGACUUCCUCACAACAUGGUGGCCUUGAGAUGGUUGGAAUUCUUACAGGGUGUCUCAGGGCUCAAAGCAUGAGAGCUCCAGUAAACAAAAGGAAAGCUUUAUGGCCUUGACGGCUCAGCUUCUGAAGCUACGCAGCAUCAUUUUUGGUAUCUCAAAUGGGAUCUUGGAAGGGUGAUGUGUGAAUUUUGUAUGUGAAAGAAAUUUCAAUAAUUUGUUGCCAGAAGAUGGUCUAUGGUGGUUUUUGUAUGUGAAAGAAAUUUCAAUAAUUUGUUACCAGAAAAUGGUCUGUGGUGGUUUUUUAACUGAAAAUUAUUUGUCACUCUUGCCAUUAGGCAAUGGCGUCCAUGCUUCUUUCUCUUGACUCUAGGUGAGCUUGUGACUGCCUCAAACAAGAGUGUAAUGGAGAAAAAAAGUAUAACAGAAAUUCCUCACUGAGAAAGUUAUUUCCUAUUCCUAGUUUUCUGAGAGUUUUUAAUCAUCAGUGGAUAUCAAAAUUUAUCAAUUCUUUUCACACAUGUGUUAAUAUAAUCAGUUUUUUUGCAGUUUAGUCUAUGAAUAUAGUAAAUUAUAUUCUGGAUUUUUAAAUUUCAAACCAAUUUUCAUUCUUAGGAUAAAUAUCACUUGGUGGUGGUGGUCAUGGAUAUUUUUCUUUUCAUAUCUUGCUGGCUUCGGUUUGCUAAUAUUUUGUUAAUGAUUUUUAUGGUUAUUGUUUAUGGUCUAUAGUUUUUUUUUUCUUCUUAUAUAUCUGUUUCAUUUUAGUAUCAGAGUCUCAUAUAAGGAGUUUGGAAGUGAUGUUUAAUUUUUUAUUUUCUGAACAAAUAUGUAGAAUUUUUAUUAUUUCAUUAUCACAUUUUUAGGGGAC